UCCUGCUCUGCAGCCUACCACAAUGGCACACCACUACAAGCUGCGUAAGCGCAUUUUUGCUAGAGAUGUCACAUUGAAAUGAAGUAAAUCUUCUUUGUGGUUAUGCUUCAAGGUUGUGCCCACCAUGCUGGCACCUAAGGACUCUGUACAGACAUCAGCAGAGAACCACUUUCCUUGUCCCAGGGAACUCCUCACAGAACAAUGAGAAAAAAAAGACUUCACAAUGGAUGGGUGAGGCAAAUAGGAAAGGGGUAGACAUAUGUCUUCUCUUCAGCUUGGCCCUUAAUCUCCAUCCAAACAGUAAUCAAGACAUGAGUUAAUCAAACAACUACUAUGCCAGCACACCAGUACCAUGGCCUGCAACUGAUUUCCAGUUGGCAUGAGCUUGUUUAUUACUCAUCCAUUGCUGUGAACAGGAGAAAUCAGAGGAAAAGUAGAGAUUUCUUGACUCCAAGGAGCCAUUGCCAACUGCCACCAACAACUGCAAUCUUCCAGAGUGAUAAGGAUCUCCAAAGACUCAGUGAUAGUCCACUGCUACCCUAUUACUGCUCCUCCUGAAGGGAUGUGUCUGAGAGUCAUUAAGCAACUUAUUUUCAAGCUACAAAUGCGGCUUCCAGAAGUGAUUCCCAUUUCAAGGUUUCUGCAAAACCUGGGAGUUUUGAGUGCUCAGUGUCUGAAAACUUCAAAGUUACACUUUUGUCCCUGUGGUAACUCUUCAACGUUUUACAAGGUAGACGGAAGAAAAUCCCCAAAAGCUGCAGACAACAAACAAUAAAUCUAAAAUGGCAUAGAAGAAGAGAGUCCUCAGUACAAAUUCAAAGAGAAUAACAGCUUCUACCACUUCUUUCUGCCCUUGCUCAACCUGUUGUCCCACCCUAGGGAAAAUACAGUCCUAAUCGCCAGUCCUUGCCCUUCUACUUAUGAGCAUUCUAUCUGUACAUGCCUAUCCUCACUGGUAAACAAGCAGGAAAAUUAAAACUGAAAUAACAGAAAAUAGCUUAAAUAAGAAAUAAGCUUGGCUACUGUAUUUAAAAAUACAUUUUAUGUAAUGCUUUGGUUUCAGAAUUGUACUUUACAUAAGUGGUGACUGAUGUCCAUCAACAAAAUUGUCACGCCCAGCUUAGCAAUGCACUGUGUAACCUCCGUUCCCAUUGAAGUCAGGAUUUGAAAGCAUUUGAAAGUACUCUUCAGACUCAGGUAUCAACCAGUCUGGUGGCUCACUUUGGAUAUGUUAG
This is a long non-coding RNA of Numida meleagris (helmeted guineafowl), 1235 nucleotides long. RefSeq lists it as uncharacterized. Lineage: Eukaryota; Metazoa; Chordata; Aves; Galliformes; Numididae. The transcript has 4 exons. The record is from RefSeq and is a predicted model, not a curated record.